AUUGAACGCUGGCGGCAGGCUUAACACAUGCAAGUCGAACGAUGAAACUCUAGCUUGCUAGAGAUGAUUAGUGGCGGACGGGUGAGUAACAUUUAGGAAUCUGCCUCGUAGUGGGGGAUAGCUCGGGGAAACUCGAAUUAAUACCGCAUACGACCUACGGGUGAAAGGGGGCGCAAGCUCUUGCUAUUAGAUGAGCCUAAAUCAGAUUAGCUAGUUGGUGGGGUAAAGGCCCACCAAGGCGACGAUCUGUAACUGGUCUGAGAGGAUGAUCAGUCACACCGGAACUGAGACACGGUCCGGACUCCUACGGGAGGCAGCAGUGGGGAAUAUUGGACAAUGGGGGCAACCCUGAUCCAGCCAUGCCGCGUGUGUGAAGAAGGCCUUUUGGUUGUAAAGCACUUUAAGCAGGGAGGAGAGGCUAAUGGUUAAUACCCAUUAGAUUAGACGUUACCUGCAGAAUAAGCACCGGCUAACUCUGUG
Molecule: ribosomal RNA, 480 nt
Filed under: uncultured bacterium
Lineage: Bacteria
Description: partial 16S ribosomal RNA
Rfam family: Bacterial small subunit ribosomal RNA
Source: RNAcentral